RNAcentral lists this unclassified non-coding RNA (350 nucleotides) under Hevea brasiliensis (rubber tree). Lineage: Eukaryota; Viridiplantae; Streptophyta; Magnoliopsida; Malpighiales; Euphorbiaceae. The record is from RNAcentral.
GGAUGUUACUGGGCUACACAAUUUUUUAUAGCUUGCUCUGCAACUGUGAUUGCUGGUUCUGUUGCCUCCUACUACUGGGCUCAUGGUGGGACAUCGCCGGAGAUUACAUUUCUUCCAGUUUUUUCCUCUAUGAGGCGGCUUAUGCGGUACACAGCCUUGGGUCAGUUGCUCUUGGCUCCCUGACCGUGUCAUUUGUGGAAUCAGUUCGCUUCAUGCUUGAGUCAAUCCGUCGCAAACUGAAAGUUACUGGCACUACACCUGACGGCUGCAUAGGAAAGAUGGCGCAUCAUACUUCACAGUUUUGUCUGAGAUGUGUUGAGUGGACUAUAAAAUCUGUGAACCGCAAUGCU